Molecule: transfer RNA, 69 nt
Filed under: Marmota monax (woodchuck)
Lineage: Eukaryota; Metazoa; Chordata; Mammalia; Rodentia; Sciuridae
Description: tRNA.Ala
Source: RNAcentral
GGAUGUGGCUCAUUGGUAGGGUGCUUGCCAGGCAAGCACAAGGCCCUGGGUUCAAUCCCCAGUAUCACA